Molecule: ribosomal RNA, 411 nt
Filed under: Pseudomonas sp.
Lineage: Bacteria; Pseudomonadati; Pseudomonadota; Gammaproteobacteria; Pseudomonadales; Pseudomonadaceae
Description: bacterial SSU rRNA
Source: RNAcentral
AUUGAGACAGGUGCUGCAUGGCUGUYGUCAGCUCGUGUCGUGAGAUGUUGGGUUAAGUCCCGUAACGAGCGCAACCCUUGUCCUUAGUUACCAGCACAUUAUGGUGGGCACUCUAAGGAGACUGCCGGUGACAAACCGGAGGAANGUGGGGAUGACGUCAAGUCAUCAUGGCCCUUACGGCCUGGGCUACACACGUGCUACAAUGGUCGGUACARAGGGUUGCCAAGCCGCGAGGUGGAGCUAAUCUCACUAAACCGAUCGUAGUCCGGAUCGCAGUCUGCAACUCGACUGCGUGAAGUCGGAAUCGCUAGUAAUCGCGAAUCAGAAUGUCGCGGUGAAUACGUUCCCGGGCCUUGUACACACCGCCCGUCACACCAUGGGAGUGGGUUGCACCAGAAGUAGCUAGUCUAA